GCGAGCUUCGGGCCGGUAGGGGCGUGAAUACUAAGGGGGCUGGAUUGGCUCGGGUUGACCGGGCGGAAAGUGCGCGUAGGCGGACAGCUUAGUCAGGGGUGAAAGCCCGGGGCUCAACCUCGGAAUGGCCUUUGAGACGGGCUGUGUUGAGUACGGGAGAGGUGUGUGGAACUCCGAGUGUAGAGGUGAAAUUCGUAGAUAUUCGGAAGAACACCAGUGGCGAAGGCGACACACUGGCCCGUUACUGACGCUGAGGCGCGAAAGCGUGGGGAGCAAACAGGAUUAGAUACCCUUGUAGUC
Molecule: ribosomal RNA, 300 nt
Filed under: uncultured Thiobacillus sp.
Lineage: Bacteria; Pseudomonadati; Pseudomonadota; Betaproteobacteria; Nitrosomonadales; Thiobacillaceae
Description: bacterial SSU rRNA
Rfam family: Bacterial small subunit ribosomal RNA
Source: RNAcentral